UGCCAGCCGCCGCGGUAAUACGGAGGGUGCAAGCGUUAAUCGGAAUUACUGGGCGUAAAGCGCGCGUAGGCGGCUCUUUAAGUCGGAUGUGAAAGCCCCGGGCUCAACCUGGGAACUGCAUCCGAUACUGGGGAGCUAGAGUGUAGGAGAGGGAGGUAGAAUUCCAUGUGUAGCAGUGAAAUGCGUAGAUAUAUGGAGGAAUACCAGUGGCGAAGGCGGCCUCCUGGCCAAUACUGACGCUGAGGUUCGAAAGCAUGGGUAGCGAACAGGAUUAGAUA
Molecule: ribosomal RNA, 278 nt
Filed under: uncultured bacterium
Lineage: Bacteria
Description: partial 16S ribosomal RNA
Rfam family: Bacterial small subunit ribosomal RNA
Source: RNAcentral